AUCGCCCCUGUGAAUUCCUGGUGUAUAAAACAGGCAGGAAAAGUUGUCUGGAGGUAUUUGCGGAGAACUGUGUCUGUUCGGGAGGGAGCUGUGGGGUUGGAGGCUGAGCUACGCCUCUCCCUUUGCUUCCUGGGUGAGAGCAGCGAGACGUGGCACUUAGCUGAAGCGAGCAGAGAGAGAUCGCUUCCCGGACUUAAGGAGAUAAGAAAAUCCAUCUUUAAAAGAACUCCUGGAAGGCCCAACAAUGGGCUCAAAACAUAAUUUUUAAAUCAAGUCCUCCGGCCCUGCUGAAGUUCAAGGCAACAGUGAGAACUAGAAUCCGUGACAAAUGAAGACAUGACAGAUAUGGCCAACCAUGUGGCUGGAGGCAAGCCUCAGUGAGCUGGGCAUAGUCAAUACCCUUGAUGGCGCAAUGACUGGCAUCGUAAGUUCGGGAGUUCCUGGCCUGCUCCAGUUUCCAUUAGAGUGCUGGCUGAAAGGUGGACUCAGAGAUUAAUCAGUGGUGCUGGCUGAACCUUGAGGGAAACAGCGACAUUUAAAAAGAAUGUCCUGAGGCAGGCGCUUCUUAAUAUUUCUAUCAGUUACUCGAGUGAUGAAAUAAAAGACAAGUUGAUUUAA
Long non-coding RNA from Canis lupus familiaris (dog), 618 nucleotides. RefSeq lists it as uncharacterized. The record is from RefSeq and is a predicted model, not a curated record. Lineage: Eukaryota; Metazoa; Chordata; Mammalia; Carnivora; Canidae. The transcript has 3 exons.